Molecule: ribosomal RNA, 663 nt
Filed under: uncultured bacterium
Lineage: Bacteria
Description: bacterial SSU rRNA
Rfam family: Bacterial small subunit ribosomal RNA
Source: RNAcentral
GAUGAACGCUGGCGGCGUGCUUAAGACAUGCAAGUCGAACGCAGUCGCUCCGCAAGGGGCGGCUGAGUGGCGAAUGGGUGCGUAACACGUAGGUGACCUGCCCGGAAGUGGGGAAUAACAGUUCGAAAGGACUGCUAAUACCGCAUGUGGUGCUGGGGUUUUGAAGCCUGGUACCAAAGGUGCUCGCAAGAGUGCCGCUUUCGGAGGGGCCUGCGGCCCAUCAGCUAGUUGGUAGGGUAACGGCCUACCAAGGCGACGACGGGUAGGGGACCUGAGAGGGUGACCCCCCACACUGGCACUGACACACGGGCCAGACUCCUACGGGAGGCAGCAGUCGGGAAUAUUGCACAAUGGACGAAAGUCUGAUGCAGCAACGCCGCGUGCGCGAUGAAGGCCUUCGGGUCGUAAAGCGCUUUUCGGGUGGAUGAGAUAGGACAGUACACCCGGAAUAAGGAACGGCUAACUACGUGCCAGCAGCCGCGGUAAAACGUAGGUUCCGAGCGUUAUCCGGAUUUACUGGGCGUAAAGCGCGUUCAGGCGGUUUGGCAAGUCGGGCAUGAAAUCUCUGGGCUCAACCCGGAGAGGUUGUCCGAUACUGCUAAACUGGAGGGCAGUAGAGGGUGGUGGAAUUCCGGGUGUAGUGGUGAAAUGCGUAGAGAUCCG